ACAGGCUUUUAUUUUUCAUGAAUUGAAUUUACAAUGUAUUUGCUUGUCAUCUAGGAAUCGUACAUUUGAUGUAACUAUUAUUAGUUUUUCUGCAGGAUCUGGACUUAUAAACAUCUGAGAGACGAAUGAAGAAGGUUUAAGUAUAGAGCUAAGGAGACAUUGUUUUAGUAUACAUGUAGAUUUAGUAUAGAUAUAGUAUAAUUAUGUUAACCACGUCACUGAAUACUGUAAUCAUGAUUAGUCAGUUCUGGUCAACUGUAGUUCCUAUCUACCAAUGGCGACGUAAAAUCUUUUUCAAAGAGGAUCUAUAAGGAGGCACUAUAGUGAAGACUGCUCCCAUCCAGAGUACACAAGCAUAUUAGUUACCCAUUAAAGAUCCAGUAUUCGUCUGAAUCUUCUGUGAAAUUGUCACAAAAAGGAGCGUAUGCCUCCAGAGGAUCCUGUGGCGAGGCACCAAUUGACUGAAAAGCCUUAGUGUCACUGAGCUUUAAAACUUUACGUACUCCUACAAAAUAGGUAUGGUGCAAGAGUUUUAUUCAAAUCGACGCAUCUCUGCUAAUGAAUAAGGAGUAUUUUUGCAUCGUCGGGAUGGUCGAGGUAAUUUGGAUCUAUGAGUGGCGGAUCAAAUGGAUCACGACUCCGGAGACGUAUUGUCCCUUUACUCUUAGGGUGGAGCAGGAUCGGAU
Molecule: long non-coding RNA, 686 nt
Organism: Ostrea edulis (European flat oyster)
Lineage: Eukaryota; Metazoa; Mollusca; Bivalvia; Ostreida; Ostreidae
Exons: 3
Source: RefSeq, a predicted model, not a curated record